UACGGGGGGGGCAAGCGUUGUUCGGAAUUACUGGGCGUAAAGGGCUCAUAGGCGGCCAACUAAGUCGGACGUGAAAUCCCCAGGCUCAACCUGGGAACUGCGUCCGAUACUGGUGAGCUUGAGUGCAGGAGAGGAACGCGGAAUUCCAGGUGUAGCGGUGAAAUGCGUAGAUAUCUGGAGGAACACCGGUGGCGAAGGCGGCGUUCUGGACUGCAACUGACACUGAUGAACGAAAGCCAGGGGAGCAAACGGG
Molecule: ribosomal RNA, 253 nt
Filed under: uncultured bacterium
Lineage: Bacteria
Description: partial 16S ribosomal RNA
Rfam family: Bacterial small subunit ribosomal RNA
Source: RNAcentral